RNAcentral lists this ribosomal RNA (501 nucleotides) under uncultured bacterium. Its description in RNAcentral is "bacterial SSU rRNA". It matches the Rfam family "Bacterial small subunit ribosomal RNA", at positions 29 to 507 of the family's 1533-position model. The record is from RNAcentral.
AAUGAACGCUGGCGGCGUGCUUAACACAUGCAAGUCGUGCGAGAAAGUGGCUUCGGCCACGAGUAAAGCGGCGAACGGGUGAGUAACACGUGGAUAACCUACCUGAGAGUGGGGGAUAACUCGGGGAAACCCGGGCUAAUACCGCAUACGACCGCGAGACCUCGGUCUCGUGAGGAAAGCGGGCCUCUUCAUGAAAGCUCGCGCUCCCAGAUGGGUCCGCGCCUGAUUAGCUAGUUGGUGAGGUAAUGGCUCACCAAGGCGACGAUCAGUAGCCGGCCUGAGAGGGUGAUCGGCCACACUGGAACUGAGACACGGUCCAGACUCCUACGGGAGGCAGCAGUGGGGAAUAUUGGACAAUGGGGGAAACCCUGAUCCAGCAACGCCGCGUGGAGGACGAAGGCUUUCGGGUCGUAAACUCCUGUCAGUUGGGACGAAAAGGUGUCGGAGUAAUACCCGGCAUCCAUGACGGUACCUUCAGAGGAAGCCCCGGCUAACUCCGUG